RNAcentral lists this long non-coding RNA (516 nucleotides) under Populus trichocarpa (black cottonwood). RNAcentral's name for it is "long non-coding RNA (PTRI_LNC004646)". The record is from RNAcentral. Lineage: Eukaryota; Viridiplantae; Streptophyta; Magnoliopsida; Malpighiales; Salicaceae.
CUGCCUGAACCUCUCCAUCUUCACUACCACCCUUGUGUCUUCCUAACUAGCUAGCUCCAUACACAUACCUAAACAUUUUGUUUCUUAAAAGUCCCAGCUUUUUUUUCGUUUCAUAAAUGGAUUCUAAAAGAAAAUAUAAUCAAUACUUGACAAUAAUACUCUUUGUUACCAUUAUUUUUGUAUCAUGUUCCAACCCAAUAAUGGCAGCGAGUCCAUUAGGGAGUGAUGAUCAUCAGCUUGGAGAUAAUCCAGACCAACAUAUGCCCCGUAAUCCCGACAAGGUCGAGCAUUAUAAUCCAUGCCGAUAUGUGCCCGGAAGUCUUAGUAGAUGCAGAGUUGGUGGACCUCCAGUUUGACGUAGUAAAAUGAUGAAUGAAUAAUCCAGGGAGGUUUUCUCUUAUACUUGCCAAAAACUAGCCUGCAAGGCAUGUCAACCCCUAAAGUUUCACUUUUUUUACCCAUGGUUUUAGCCUUCUUUAGCCUUCGAGGAAUGCUAAUUAUUUCUGUGUCUUUUGC